GACGAACGCUGGCGGUGUGCUUAACGCAUGCAAGUGGUGCGACGAACCAGAGCUUGCUCUGGGGCAAAGCCGCGAACGGGUGAGUAACACGUGGGUAAUCUACCCCGAUGACCGGGACAACCCGAGGAAACUCGGGCUAAUACCGGAUGUGGUGCGGAGACAUAAGUCUCUUCACUAAAGGUAGCUUCGGCUUCCGCAUUGGGAGGGGCCCGCGGCCCAUUAGCUUGUUGGUGGGGUCAAGGCCUACCAAGGCAACGAUGGGUAGCUGGUCUGAGAGGACGAUCAGCCACACUGGGACUGAGACACGGCCCAGACUCCUACGGGAGGCAGCAGUGGGGAAUCUUGCGCAAUGCGCGAAAGCGUGACGCAGCAACACCGCGUGAGGGAAGAAGGCCUUAGGGUUGUAAACCUCUUUCAGAUGGGACGAAGGUGCUCCGGUGAAUAGCCGAGAGGAUUGACGGUACCGUCAGAAGAAGCGCCGGCUAACUACGUG
Molecule: ribosomal RNA, 493 nt
Filed under: uncultured bacterium
Lineage: Bacteria
Description: partial 16S ribosomal RNA
Rfam family: Bacterial small subunit ribosomal RNA
Source: RNAcentral